RNAcentral lists this ribosomal RNA (875 nucleotides) under uncultured bacterium. Its description in RNAcentral is "bacterial SSU rRNA". It matches the Rfam family "Bacterial small subunit ribosomal RNA", at positions 20 to 895 of the family's 1533-position model. The record is from RNAcentral.
CAACCCCGCAUCUUUAACGCUAGCGGGAGGCCUAACACAUGCAAGCCGAGCGGUAUUGUUUCUUCGGAAAUGAGAGAGCGGCGUACGGGUGCGGAACACGUGUGCAACCUGCCUUUAUCUGGGGGAUAGCCUUUCGAAAGGAAGAUUAAUACUCCAUAAUAUAUUGAACGGCAUCGUUUAAUAUUGAAAGCUCCGGCGGAUAGAGAUGGGCACGCGCAAGAUUAGCUAGUUGGUGAGGUAACGGCUCACCAAGGCGAUGAUCUUUAGGGGGCCUGAGAGGGUGAUCCCCCACACUGGUACUGAGACACGGACCAGACUCCUACGGGAGGCAGCAGUGAGGAAUAUUGGUCAAUGGGUGCAAGCCUGAACCAGCCAUCCCGCGUGAAGGACGACUGCCCUAUGGGUUGUAAACUUCUUUUGUAUAGGGAUAAACCUACCCUCGUGAGGGUAGCUGAAGGUACUAUACGAAUAAGCACCGGCUAACUCCGUGCCAGCAGCCGCGGUAAUACGGACGGUGCAAGCGUUAUCCGGAUUUAUUGGGUUUAAAGGGUCCGUAGGCGGACUUAUAAGUCAGUGGUGAAAGCCUGUCGCUUAACGAUAGAACUGCCAUUGAUACUGUAAGUCUUGAGUAUAUUUGAGGUAGCUGGAAUAAGUAGUGUAGCGGUGAAAUGCAUAGAUAUUACUUAGAACACCAAUUGCGAAGGCAGGUUACCAAGAUAUAACUGACGCUGAGGGACGAAAGCGUGGGGAGCGAACAGGAUUAGAUACCCUGGUAGUCCACGCCGUAAACGAUGCUAACUCGUUUUUGGGCUUUAGGGUUCAGAGACCAAGCGAAAGUGAUAAGUUAGCCACCUGGGGAGUACGCUCGCGAGAGU